This 521-nucleotide ribosomal RNA is filed under the name Salmonella enterica subsp. enterica. RNAcentral describes it as "partial 23S ribosomal RNA". It matches the Rfam family "Bacterial large subunit ribosomal RNA", at positions 556 to 1081 of the family's 2925-position model. The record is from RNAcentral. Lineage: Bacteria; Pseudomonadati; Pseudomonadota; Gammaproteobacteria; Enterobacterales; Enterobacteriaceae.
CUGGUUGCCUACAAACAGAUGGAGCCUGAAAGGGUGACAUCGUACCUUUUGUAUAAUGGGUCAGCGACUUAGUGUAUCGAGCAAGCUUAAGCCGGUAGGUGUAGGCGCAGCGAAAGCGAGUCUGAACAGGGCGUUCAGUUCGAUGCAUUAGACCCGAAACCGAGUGAUCUAGCCAUGAGCAGGUUGAAGGUGAGGUAACACUCACUGGAGGACCGAACCCAUAACUGUUGCAAUAGUUCGGGAUGACUUGUGGCUAGGGGUGAAAGGCCAAUCAAACUCGGAAAUAGCUGGUUCUCCGCGAAAUCUAUUUAGGUAGAGCGUCGACCGAAUACCCUGGGGGGUAAAGCACUGCAUGGGCUAGGGGUCCUCACCGGAUUACCAAACCUAAGCAAACUCUGAAUACCCAGGAGUACUAGUCGGCAGACACACGGCGGGUGCUAACGUCCGUCGUGAAAAGGGAAACAACCCUGACCAACAGCUAAGGUCCCCAAGUUAUGGCUAAGUGGGAAAGGAUGUGAGGA